Solanum stenotomum is the source of this 225-nucleotide small nucleolar RNA. RefSeq annotates it as small nucleolar RNA U3. Lineage: Eukaryota; Viridiplantae; Streptophyta; Magnoliopsida; Solanales; Solanaceae. The record is from RefSeq and is a predicted model, not a curated record. The transcript has a single exon.
ACGGCCUUACCUGAACAGCAUCUGCUCUAUUGGCUCAUACUACUAUAUCCUUGAGUUCUGAGGAAACAUGAAAGUAGGACACCAAUCUGGUUGAUGAAGCAUGGUCAUGUGACUAGAGUGUGAUUCACAGCCUCCUUCCAUGGCUCCUAGUUGUGUGGGGCAGUAGUAGAUGAUCGUUCUUAGACCUCUCAGGUCUUAGAUGGUCUCAUGGCUGUUUGACAGACU